AAAGAAUCCUGAAAAAUCACGGUUUUGACAAAAAUAUUAAGCAGCACUUUUUUUUAACAUUGAUGAUAAUAAAUGUUUCUUGAGUAGCAAAUCAGCAUAUUAUAAUGAUUUCUGAAAGAUCAUGUGACACUGAAGACUGGAGUAUGGCUGCUGAAAAUUCAGCUUUGCCAUUACAGGAAUAAAUUACAUUUUAAAAUUAAAUUACCAUUUAAAUUUUAAUUAUAAUAAUAUUUCAAAAUAUUAUUAAAUUAUUGUAUUUUUGAUAAAUGCACUCAAGGCGAGGAUAAGCAACUUUUCAAAAACAUGAAAAAAAAAAGACUUACCAUCCCCCAAAUUUAACUGGUAAUAUAUAUAUUAAUAUUAUAUUAAAGUGAAAACCCCUCCCUGUUUUCUGCUCUUUUAUGAAAUGUACACUGCGUAAACUACCAGUUUUCACAGGAUUGAUUUCUUUGUUUUUAGGGCUAUUGCAACAUCAUCUCUACACCACUACAAGGUUUCUCAGAAGACUCCAGUGAUGAGGAUGACCACAUGGCACCACUGGCAUCUAAAAGUGAGGAAGGCUCUGUGUGCUGCGUUUGUGGUGAAAACAUCCCCUUACUGAAUAAACUGAUAGAGCACUUCAAGACGCACACAGCUGAGGUGUCUUGCCACCUGUGUUGGACAAAGUUUGGAAGUGUUAUGUCACUGGCAUUACACUUAAAAAAUUCCCAUCCAAGGAAAAGUUUCAUGUGUGGAAUCUGCAGAACUCUCUUUAGGUGCACGUGGCAUCUGAAUGGACAUAUGGAAAAGCAUCGGAAAGACGCAAUGGAGGUAAAACCUAUGGUUAAAAUGGAACAGACAGAAGAAAUCAGCAUCAAAGAGAGCAUAAGAUACACUGAUAUGAGAAAAAUAACCUUGAGGGAUCAUUCAUAUUGUGUCUCAGAUCACGCAGUUAUAAAUGACACUUACAAUGCCAUCCAGAAACGCAUCGACAAUGAUACAAACUCCACAAAUCAAGUGUCACACAUCAAAACACAAAUCGAAAGACUGCCUAUUAUUGAUAAACAAAAUGACACCUUGAGCUUUUCCUCAUGCCCUUCGAAUCAAUCAGAGCAAGAGCAUCUAAGCUUUAAGCUGAAGGAAGAGAAUGAGGAUGAGGAUGGGCUCGGAGAAACUGCAGCUUGUGAGGUGGUUACAGAAGAGGAAAUUGGACUGAUGGAGGAUGACGAAAGUACCGACACUGAUGAUGAUGUCAACGCCAUCCCCCCUAAUAUUAGGGAUGUAACGGGCUAUUACAACAUCAUCUCUACACCACUACAAGGUUUCUCAGAAGACUCCAGUGAUGAGGAUGACCACAUGGCACCACUGGCACCUAAAAGUGAGGAAGGCUCUGUGUGCUGCGUUUGUGGUGAAAACAUCCCCUUACUGAAUAAAUUGAUAGAGCACUUCAAGACGCACACAGCUGAGGUGUCUUGCCACCUGUGUUGGACAAAGUUUGGAAGUGUUAUGUCACUGGCAUUACACUUAAAAAAUGCCCAUCCAAGGAAAAGUUUCAUGUGUGGAAUCUGCAGAACUCUCUUUAGGUGCACGUGGAAUCUGAAUGGACAUAUGGAAAAGCAUCGGAAAGACGCAAUGGAGGUAAAACCUGUGGUUAAAUGGAACAGACAGAAGAAAUCAGCAUCAAAGAGAACAUAAGAUACACUGAUAUGAGAAAAAUAACCUUGAGGGAUCAUUCAUAUUGUGUCUCAGAUCAAGCACUUACAAAUGACACUUGCAAUGCCAUCCAGAAACGCAUCGACAAUGAUACAAACUCCACAAAUCAAGUGUCACACAUCAAAACACAAACCAAAAGAUUGCCUAUUAUUGAUAAACAAAGCAAUAGCUUCAGCUUUUCCUCAUGCCCUUUGAAUCAAUCAGAGCAAGAGCAUUUAAGCUUUAAACUGAAGGAAGAGAAUGAGGAUGAGGUUGGGCUUGGAUAAACUGCUGCUUGUGAGGUGGCUACAGAGGAGGAAAUUGGACUGAUGGAGGAUGACGAAAGUACUGACACUGAUGACGAUGUCAACACUGAUUCACUACCCCCUGGUGACACGGCGCACAACCCGGAUGAGGACUUCAGCUCAGAAACUGAUGACAGUGACUCAAGAAGCAGCUCCUAUAGCCGUUACCGAAAGAAAAAGAGACGAAAGAAACAGACUCCCGACAGUAAAAGACCUGCAAAUAGGAAUCUAGAGUCAGUUGACACAGCAGAGAAAUCGCCAAAUUCGCUAAUUUGGAGAAGGACAUGGAUGAUUGCAGGAACAAACUGAGGUUUGCUUGUUGUCUGUGCAACAUGGUAUGUGAGAAUGAAGAGUUGCUGCUGAAGCACACGACUGAAAAACACCCCGCAGCUGGGUAUAUCUGUGCAUAUUGCCACAGUGUUUUUCCUAGACUGGACAGUUUCAAAAAUCAUGUCUGUUUGAGAAGACCAACAGGCGGCAUGAACUUGCCAGCCACCCUCGUAACCCAAUUACCUUUAUCCGGUCAAAUAAGACCUUCUGCUCCUGCUUUAUACACCAUUCAAAACUCUAUUAAAAUGAUCAAAAUAGCUCAGACAGUGAAUAAAAUUUCCCCAGCCCCUGAUCCUCCA
Cyprinus carpio (common carp) is the source of this 2605-nucleotide long non-coding RNA. Lineage: Eukaryota; Metazoa; Chordata; Actinopteri; Cypriniformes; Cyprinidae. The record is from Ensembl.